RNAcentral lists this ribosomal RNA (508 nucleotides) under uncultured bacterium. RNAcentral describes it as "partial 16S ribosomal RNA". It matches the Rfam family "Bacterial small subunit ribosomal RNA", at positions 28 to 507 of the family's 1533-position model. The record is from RNAcentral.
GACGAACGCUGGCGGCGUGCCUAAUACAUGCAAGUCGAACGCUUCUUUCCUCCCGAGUGCUUGCACUCAAUUGGAAAGAGGAGUGGCGGACGGGUGAGUAACACGUGGGUAACCUACCCAUCAGAGGGGGAUAACACUUGGAAACAGGUGCUAAUACCGCAUAACAGUUUAUGCCGCAUGGCAUAAGAGUGAAAGGCGCUUUCGGGUGUCGUUGAUGGAUGGACCCGCGGUGCAUUAGCUAGUUGGUGGGGUAACGGCUCACCAAGGCCACGAUGCAUAGCCGACCUGAGAGGGUGAUCGGCCACACUGGGACUGAGACACGGCCCAGACUCCUACGGGAGGCAGCAGUAGGGAAUCUUCGGCAAUGGACGAAAGUCUGACCGAGCAACGCCGCGUGAGUGAAGAAGGUUUUCGGAUCGUAAAACUCUGUUGUUAGAGAAGAACAAGGACGUUAGUAACUGAACGUCCCCUGACGGUAUCUAACCAGAAAGCCACGGCUAACUACGUG